Pseudophryne corroboree (corroboree frog) is the source of this 2116-nucleotide long non-coding RNA. RefSeq lists it as uncharacterized. The record is from RefSeq and is a predicted model, not a curated record. Lineage: Eukaryota; Metazoa; Chordata; Amphibia; Anura; Myobatrachidae. The transcript is spliced from 4 exons.
CGGCUGCAUCACUAAAGGGGGAGUGGGCGGCGUUACGCAUACACGCUGGGAGAGCAGGAAGCGGGCAGGCUGUUUAGCAGGGCGCCGCAGAAAGGGCAGGGCAGAUUUUAUCCUUAAAAGAUCGGGCACUGCUAAAACAGCUUAGCGUGUACACUAAUAUCUUAUCUGUCCUGCUUGCAAUUCACAUCAGUGUUAUAUGCUGGGGUGUAGCUAUGCCUUUUGGGACCCAAUAGCAUAAUUCCACGCCAUAAUUACUCUGGUAUGGCUAUUAUCUGUACGUUAUGCUCUUAUAUUUUACUUGAAUGUUUAUAUACGGUCCAUUCCUGUUUACGUAUGUGUGAAUUUUCCCAGUAUGUAUAGUUUUCUCCCAAUAUUUUUGAUUAUAUUUUUAGAGAUAUAUAUUUGUAUAGAUUUAUAUUUUUUUGUAUAUAGUGUAUAUUUUAUUUUUCUAUUUUAUUAUAUAUUUUAUAUAUUAUUUUAGAUUUAUAUAGACUGUAAGCUCCUGCGGGGCAGGGACUGAUAUGGAUGACAUGUGUUCUAUAUACAGCACUGCACUUAUUUGUGGUACUAUAUAAAGAAACAAUAAUAAAUAUGCAUGUAUAUCAGGAACAUAUUAUCGCGCCUCUAAUUUUUUUUUUCAGGUGGACCAUCUCCACGAUUGAAUUGUGAGGUCAUCAGCCGCCAUCCUUCAUCUCUGGGCUUCUGCGCGGUCAUCUUUACUACAAAGCAUACUCUGAAGAUAGAACCGCAGGAAUAGUCGACCCAAGACAGGUGGACCAUCUCCACGAUUGAAUUGUGAGGUCAUCAGCCGCCAUCCUUCAUCUCUGGGCUUCUGCGCGGUCAUCUUUACUACAAAGCAUACUCUGAAGAUAGAACCGCAGGAAUAGUCGACCCAAGACAGGUGGACCAUCUCCACGAUUGAAUUGUGAGGCCAUCAGCCGCCAUCCUUCAUCUCUGGGCUUCUGCGCGGUCAUCUUUACUACAAAGCAAACUCUGAAAAUAGAACCGCAGGAAUAGUCGACCCAAGACAGGUGGACCAUCUCCACGAUUGAAUUGUGAGGUCAUCAGCCGCCAUCCUUCAUCUCUGGGCUUCUGCGCGGUCAUCUUUACUACAAAGCAUACUCUGAAGAUAGAACCGCAGGAAUAGUCGACCCAAGACAGGUAAUUAAUAUUAUUAUUAAUUACCGAUAGCGCUCAGGCUAGACUUCACUUCUAGACCUGUAGAGGCGUGGUAAUAUGUUUCUGGUGUACAUGGAUAUUUAAUAUGUAUGUUUUCUAGUAGGUGAAAAUUUUCAUUUUCACCCACCUUUGUAGAAAUUUAAGGAGGCCCCUUAGUGCGAAAUCACCCGGCCAAAAUGCAACACAGUUUGUGUUUGAGCACUUGUGUGUUAGGACACCUGCAAGGACAUAUUUAUACAACACUGUGGGGGUAGCUUUUCUAAGGUACGAUUUAUCAAAACUGGCCUUGAUGGUGACCUUGAUAAACUGUGUCUUAUUGGGGUGUGGCCUGGAUGGGCAUGGAGUAAGACGUAAGUCUUACUGCUUUCCAGCCCGAUAACUCUGUUUACCUAUCCUGUGGCCACCAAAAGACUCAUCCAUAUUUUUUUUUUUGUACAAGCGUGUGUCUACCUGCCACUCUGUACUGACCAAAGGGUCUCCUCCAGCUCCAGACUGCUGGUCGCCAUCUUUCCGGGCUCUUCUGCUCAGGCUUGGACUGGGCUGUGUAUGGGUAUUUAGGGUAAUCCCUGGUGGGCCCAUGAAAUUCAUAGCCACGUCCUCUGCCGCUGGAGGGCGAUGCCUAGUUGAGGUCUCUGGAGUGGUUUAUUAUAGCAGGCUGCACAGAGCAGCAGGGCCGUUGACUGAGCCGGCUGAUGGCUGUGGAUGGUGGAAUCAGUCUCUGUACUGCCAAUCACCCCACUUGCACUGGGCUGUCUGGCCUUAUGUGUGUGUGUGUGUGUGUGUGUGUGUGUGUGUGUGUGUGUGUGUGUGUGUGUGUGUGUAUAUAUACAUGUACAGGUUGAGUAUCCCUUAUCCAAAAUGCUUGGGACCAGAAGUAUUUUGGAUAUCAGAUUUUCUCUGACGUCCUAAGUGGAUGCUGGGGACUCCGUCAGGACCA